Molecule: transfer RNA, 72 nt
Filed under: Camelus bactrianus (Bactrian camel)
Lineage: Eukaryota; Metazoa; Chordata; Mammalia; Artiodactyla; Camelidae
Also listed under: 3 other names
Rfam family: tRNA
About the family: Transfer RNA (tRNA) molecules are approximately 80 nucleotides in length.
Source: Rfam by way of RNAcentral
GAGGGUAUCGCUCAAAUGGUAGAGUGCAUGCUUAGCAUGCAUGAGGUCCUGGGUUCAACCCCCAAUACUUCA